This 826-nucleotide ribosomal RNA is filed under the name Xanthoparmelia sp. RNAcentral's name for it is "SSU rRNA". It matches the Rfam family "Bacterial small subunit ribosomal RNA", at positions 370 to 1152 of the family's 1533-position model. The record is from RNAcentral. Lineage: Eukaryota; Fungi; Ascomycota; Lecanoromycetes; Lecanorales; Parmeliaceae.
GUAUAGCAAUAGCUAGUUGCAUCAUAGUAGAUAUGAUGCAAGAUCGACUAUGUUGAAUAAAAUUCUAGGUAGAAUUAUGAUAAUGACAUUGUCUGCCUAUGUGUCUUGACCAAAUUACGUGCCAGCAGUCGCGGUAAUACGUAGAAGACUAGUGUUAUUCAUGUUUAAUCGGUUUAAAGGGUACCUAGACGGUAGAUCAAGCUUUCUAAUAAAGGAAAAGGACUAAUUUACUAGAGUUACUUAUGAGGGGGUAUUAAAGUACUGCUGGUGUAGAGAUGAAAUUCUGUCAUACCUCUUUUCAAAAGAAAAACCAUGGCACAGGUAUAGGCGAAGGCAUCCCCUUAUGUGAUAACUGACGUUGAGGGACGAAGGCUUUGUGUAGCGAACAGGAUUAGAUACCCCAGUAGUCGAAGCAGAAAAUGAUGAAUGUCAUAGAUUAGAUAUAUAAGUUUAUUCUAUAAAUGAAAGUGUAAGCAUUCCACCUCAUGAGUAAUUUGGCAACAUUGGAACUGAAAUCAUUAGACCGUUUCUGAAACCAGUAGUGAAGUAUGUUGUUUAAUUUGAUGUUCCGCAAAAAACCUUACCACAAUUUGAAUAUUUAUAUUGUUUAUUGUUUUAUUAUUAAUUUUCUUGAACGUAAAAGAAAAGAGAGAUGUAGGAUAAUAGUAAGAAAAUUAAGAAACAAGCAAUAAGAUAUAAUUACAAGCGUUGCACGGCUGUCUUCAGUUAAUGUCGCGAGACUUUGGUUAGUUCCAUUAAAUUAACGUAAACCCUUACUUUAUUUUUAUAUAGAGUAGUUCCCCGCUAGAUUGGAUAUGAUAACAGG